AGUGAACGCUGGCGGUAGGCCUAACACAUGCAAGUCGAACGGCAGCACAGUAAGAGCUUGCUCUUACGGGUGGCGAGUGGCGGACGGGUGAGGAAUACAUCGGAAUCUACUUUUUCGUGGGGGAUAACGUAGGGAAACUUACGCUAAUACCGCAUACGACCUACGGGUGAAAGCAGGGGAUCUUCGGACCUUGCGCGAUUGAAUGAGCCGAUGUCGGAUUAGCUAGUUGGCGGGGUAAAGGCCCACCAAGGCGACGAUCCGUAGCUGGUCUGAGAGGAUGAUCAGCCACUCUGGAACUGAGACACGGUCCAGACUCCUACGGGAGGCAGCAGUGGGGAAUAUUGGACAAUGGGCGCAAGCCUGAUCCAGCCAUACCGCGUGGGUGAAGAAGGCCUUCGGGUUGUAAAGCCCUUUUGUUGGGAAAGAAAAGCAGCAGGUUAAGACCCCGCUGUUCUGACGGUACCCAAAGAAUAAGCACCGGCUAACUUCGU
Molecule: ribosomal RNA, 491 nt
Filed under: uncultured bacterium
Lineage: Bacteria
Description: partial 16S ribosomal RNA
Rfam family: Bacterial small subunit ribosomal RNA
Source: RNAcentral